GAUGAACGCUGGCGGCGUGCCUAAUACAUGCAAGUCGAGCGAACGGACGAGAAGCUUGCUUCUCUGAUGUUAGCGGCGGACGGGUGAGUAACACGUGGAUAACCUACCUAUAAGACUGGGGUAACUUCGGGAAACCGUAGCUAAUACCGGAUAAUAUUUUGAACCGCAUGGUUCAAAAGUGAAAGACGGUCUUGCUGUCACUUAUAGAUGGAUCCGCGCUGCAUUAGCUAGUUGGUAAGGUAACGGCUUACCAAGGCAACGAUGCAUAGCCGACCUGAGAGGGUGAUCGGCCACACUGGAACUGAGACACGGUCCAGACUCCUACGGGAGGCAGCAGUAGGGAAUCUUCCGUAAUGGGCGAAAGCCUGACGGAGCAACGCCGCGUGAGUGAUGAAGGUCUUCGGAUCGUAAAACUCUGUUAUUAGGGAAGAACAUAUGUGUAAGUAACUGUGCACAUCUUGACGGUACCUAAUCAGAAAGCCACGGCUAACUACGUG
This 497-nucleotide ribosomal RNA is filed under the name uncultured bacterium. RNAcentral's name for it is "partial 16S ribosomal RNA". It matches the Rfam family "Bacterial small subunit ribosomal RNA", at positions 28 to 507 of the family's 1533-position model. The record is from RNAcentral.